GACGAACGCUGGCGGCGUGCCUAAUACAUGCAAGUUGAGCGCUGAAGGUUGGUACUUGUACCGACUGGAUGAGCAGCGAACGGGUGAGUAACGCGUGGGGAAUCUGCCUUUGAGCGGGGGACAACAUUUGGAAACGAAUGCUAAUACCGCAUAAAAACUUUAAACACAAGUUUUAAGUUUGAAAGAUGCAAUUGCAUCACUCAAAGAUGAUCCCGCGUUGUAUUAGCUAGUUGGUGAGGUAAAGGCUCACCAAGGCGAUGAUACAUAGCCGACCUGAGAGGGUGAUCGGCCACAUUGGGACUGAGACACGGCCCAAACUCCUACGGGAGGCAGCAGUAGGGAAUCUUCGGCAAUGGACGAAAGGCUGACCGAGCAACGCCGCGUGAGUGAAGAAGGGUUUCGGAUCGUAAAACUCUGUUGGUAGAGAAGAACGUUGGUGAGAGUGGAAAGCUCAUCAAGUGACGGUAACUACCCAGAAAGGGACGGCUAACUACGUG
This 497-nucleotide ribosomal RNA is filed under the name uncultured bacterium. Its description in RNAcentral is "partial 16S ribosomal RNA". It matches the Rfam family "Bacterial small subunit ribosomal RNA", at positions 28 to 507 of the family's 1533-position model. The record is from RNAcentral.